Molecule: long non-coding RNA, 1740 nt
Organism: Exaiptasia diaphana
Lineage: Eukaryota; Metazoa; Cnidaria; Anthozoa; Actiniaria; Aiptasiidae
Exons: 2
Source: RefSeq, a predicted model, not a curated record
UCCAAGAUAAUAACAAGAAGCAUCUGGGUUGGUCAUCCAAAUCUCGCACAAACCGCUGAUGAGGCGUGAGUAUUUGUCUUGUUCUUCUUCAGUCCACGUGGUCCUAUUCGAAGUGAUCUUUAGAGAGAAGGUUUUGUGCCAGUUGAGCGCAACGUUUGCUUCGGCAGAAUAAAGACACUGGCUAACCGCUGGGGCUAGUGGGUCAAUGUGCUUAGAAAUUUCUCCAGUUUUGAAAACAUGCUUUUGGGUAUUUUCUUUAGCGCGGUUGGAUAGAAUCUUUUCCAAUUCUUGUAGACAUAUUGUUUAACGUCGUAAGGUGGUUGAUCAGAAAACUUCUUUCAAGGACGAUUGUCUUGUAGUUUGCUUUCGAGUAGAUCAUCAGGAUAAUCAAUCCUCCAUAUUGUAUUAAAGAUGAACACGGCAAAGAUGUCUUGUAGGAUGUCUUUCGUGAGGUAAUUUCCUUCAAAGCGUUAUUUCGUUUUUCCCCGAAGAAUUCUUGUAAGGACUUCCAUGGUCAUUGUUUUUUUUUUCUGAAGACAGUGUAGAAGCCGGGCACAAUCAAUUUAUAUAUUUUUAUUUACCUUGUCAUAGAAUCGCGUGAUUGGUGGUUGUUUCUCUGUCUUAUUGACAUAGGAGUCACUUUCAAAGCCCUAAAAGUCACGUCACUAUCUGACAUUUUUAUUCACAAGAUAAAUCCAAAUAACGAAUCGCCCACUAGCCAAUGCUGCUCGGUCCACGUGAUUUAAAACAAUACAUUCCUCUGUCACCAAUUUUGUUGUGGUCUUUCUUGACCGUAUUUUGAGAUUUCACUUAACCUCAAAGACAACGAAAACCUACUAUGGGCAUUAGAUUACUGCAUCAGCGCGAGGUCUGGCAAUUUUAUUCCGCGGACGGGUUGAGGCUAUUCUAUUUCCAAUUUUUAAUGCGGCUCAGAAGAAAAACUCAUGAAUGCCCGUAUCUUUGCACAUCGAUCCAUUCGUCUAUGGCUGAAUAUCUUUUCAAGAGCGACACCGAAUUAGUCAAGAACUACACAGAUCUGAAUCAAAAUCGCUCCUGUCACUUAUGCUUCAAAGAUGGGGGACAUUGCCCUUGCUUUCCAAGACAGAAAAGACGAUAUGGAGGGAGUGAAAACCCGACUUGGUACACUCGAGAACAACGACCAAAAACGCUCACCAAAGACGACUUGUUCGACAUCCUGUUUGUCACCUCGCGUUCUACGAAGUCGUUGAAAAAUUCGUCGUCUCCUCAGCGUGGAUUGAAAUGGUCAUCAAAGUCAUGGACUGGAACAAGAUUAGAGGCUGGGAACGAAUUAUAUUUAGUACAGACGAAUCCAAACUCCCUCUCAUUUUUAUCAGAAAUGCAGACCAUGCGUCUAUUGUGCUCGACCUCUGUGCCAUGCUCCAGUGCUCAAAAGAUCCGUUUAGUCCCACUCCCGCCGAAUUCUACAGGGAUACCUGGUGGGUCAAACGAUCCAUGACAUAUUGUUACAUCUUCCCUCACAAUGAUGAAUAUUGCCGAAAACAUUUUACCUGGCUCACUUCAGGUCCAGAGAAGCAAGCCAAAAGCAGAAAACAGGAUUCAUUCCCUUCGCAGGUACAAAUGCAUGAUGUCUUGCCAUGUUUUUUAUCAUGCUGUCGUCAUAUGUUUGUCAGGAGCCAAUCAAGAAGACGCGUGAUUUUUUUUCUUUAAAAAUUAUGUAUUUUGCUACUACUUUGUUACCAAUAAACGUUUUUGUUGUUA